UUUUUUUUUUAACUUUCCAAGGUUUUGGAUCAUCCAGAAUCAGAUUAAGGAGAUUCUAUUAAUGAUUCCUAUUAGGACUAAUAGGAUUAAUACAGCUCAGAAAUGAGUCCUGUUCAGAAACAAUAGACCUAUUGACAGUGCCAGGGACCUUUUCGAUUCUCUUGGAAGGCAGCCAGCCUGAGGACCUGGUGGGUGCUGGGCCCCAGAGUCUACCCAGUGGGUGGAACGCACCUCCUCAAUGGAGGGCUGCCCACAUGGGUCCAGUCUUCCCCCUCCUGCUAGACCCCUCUCCACAUUUCUGGAAAAACGGCAGAAAAGGCAGUGUAGAUGUCUCUCUCCCCCACCCACCCAGUCUCUCAGGCUUUGGGGCCAUCCUUCCUUCUGAUUCUCAAUGGGAUGAUGUGACCUUUGACCCCGCCUUCUGUGGGAAGUGCAGUCUUCUCUCCAGGCCCCUGGACACUCAGGAGAGACCCUCCUUCUCUUGGGCAGUCCCCACGGCAGCCAGUUUCCUGGUUCUGCUUUGGACUCUAGCAGUGGCCACUCACUCAGGGCUCCUACCACUGCCUCUGGGGGACACUUCUCUUGUCUUCAAGGCCUUCUUACCACGAGCUGCUGUGUGUGGACGGAGUUCACCGGAGGUUUGGGGUAAUGGAGAAAGAUCACCUUAUGGCACAUGUGUGUGAGCUGUCUCUCUCCACCACUCCCCCAUCUUCCACAAGUAUCUCCUUGAAGACGCCACCCCACAUUCCUAUUCGAAGUGAGGGGGGCACUUUAUUUAUUUGUUCAUUCCUCAACAAGUGCUUUUCCAGUGUCUUCUGGGUCCUAGAAACCGUGCUUGAUACUGUGGAACAAGGGAAAACAAAACCUCUGUGGAGUUAGUGUUAAUGGAGAGAAGGUGACGAUUAAAAAAAAAAAAGCAGAUCAAUAUUCAGGUGACGUGGUAGGAAGUGCUACGAAGAACAAGUAAGCAGGUCAGGCAGCAGAGCACCAGGGAGAAAGGGUGCCUGACAGGAAGGAGAGGAGCCUGGGCAGAGCCCACCAAGCAGAGACAGCGCCACACCCAGCCUUGGGUCCCAGAGCUGUUUGGGCACCUGAGGCCAGGGGGCUGGUUAAGGUGAGCUAGGGGAAACCGGUAGGAAAUAAAAUUGGAGGAGUAACCAGGAACGAGAUGAUGUGGGGCCCGGAAAAUGUGGAAAGGUCUGUGGGUUCUAUUCUAAUUGUGAUGGAAAGUCACUAGACAGCUGGGAGGUGAUAACACGUAAUGUAAAAGGAACAUCCAGUUGUUCAUGGAGAACAGGCUGUGGCCAGUCCAGCUCUGACCUGGGAGAUGGUAAGAAGGCUGCCUGAGCAGCCCAAUGGGGGACAGCAGCAGUGUGAGCAAGGGGGCUGCUGACUGUGCUGUUGACAGCUCUCGAGGACAUUAGAGUUAACUAAUAUAUUCACUGGCUCAGGAGUGACAGAAGGGGUCAUUCUCUGACUUUUGAUCUGAGUAGCUGGCAGAGGUGGGUGCUGACCUUGGUAGGAGGCACAGUCUGGAAUGGAGGCAGAAGACUGUUUCCUCCUUUGUGUUGCUGAGUUGGUGCCACGGGGCUGGCUCAGCUGGUGGAAGGCAGAGGCCGGCCAGCCUCUGGGUUUUGCAUGAGUCUGCUCAUAGACAAGACUUUGUAACAGCCUCCAGAAGGAAGGAAAACGUUGUAUGUUGGGAUUACCACAGGAAAACCAAAAGCUGUUCCAGUUGCUGAAUGCCACUCAUUGCAGACCUUGGGUUCAGAUGUGAUCUCAGAAAUAGUAAUGGGGACUUUCCCCUCCAAGCCAGGAGUGCUUCCGCCAUAUUUCCAGGUGGCCACAUACUCUCAUCUCCAAGCUUCCUGCAGAAGGGCCUUACUGAGCAUCUGUUUCUGCACUGGAUGAUAUUGCAUUUUAUAAAGUUCUUUCUUAGGUUUUAAAUCCUCUGUUUUUAAGUUCCACACACUCUAUGCAUGGCUCCCAAAGCUCUCUCGUACCUUAUCUUGUUCAGGUUUCACAACAGCCCUGUCAUGCAGAUUGUUACCCUUGUUUCAUACAUGAAAGCAGCUGAAACGGAAAAGUCAUGGGCCUUGCUCAAGGGGACAGAGUGUAUAGAUGGUGAAGCUGGGACUUGAUCCUAGCCAUCUCACCCUAAACUGAACACUUAGGGUUUCCAUAUGCAAAGAGACUUCUAGAACCUACAUGACAGUGCUCUCUCCGUGAGCCUCAUUCCAUUAAUUUCCAGCGACACUUCUUAUGAGAGGUGAAUGUUAUAAUUGCAUUUUGAUUUCAGUCUCUCUUUGCCCAAUAUCCAUACUCUGUAUUAUAUAGAAAUAUACGUGAAGUUCAUUGCAUAAGUAUGUAUUAUAUACAUAAAUAAAGAUAUAUAUGGUCUCAUGACUGCUAUGGUCUGAGUGUGUCCCCCAAAUUCUCAUGUUGGAAACCUG
Molecule: long non-coding RNA, 2453 nt
Filed under: Marmota monax (woodchuck)
Lineage: Eukaryota; Metazoa; Chordata; Mammalia; Rodentia; Sciuridae
Source: RNAcentral